Molecule: ribosomal RNA, 255 nt
Filed under: uncultured bacterium
Lineage: Bacteria
Description: partial 16S ribosomal RNA
Rfam family: Bacterial small subunit ribosomal RNA
Source: RNAcentral
UACAGAGGUCCCAAGCGUUGUUCGGAUUCACUGGGCGUAAAGGGUGCGUAGGCGGUCGGGUAAGUCUGAUGUGAAAUCUCACAGCUUAACUGUGAAACUGCAUUGGAUACUAUUCGGCUUGAGAGUUGGAGGGGGGACUGGAAUUCUUGGUGUAGCAGUGAAAUGCGUAGAUAUCAAGAGGAACACCAGUGGCGAAGGCGAGUCCCUGGACAACUUCUGACGCUGAGGCACGAAAGCUAGGGGGAGCAAAACAGG